RNAcentral lists this ribosomal RNA (362 nucleotides) under Diadumene paranaensis. Its description in RNAcentral is "partial 16S ribosomal RNA". It matches the Rfam family "Bacterial large subunit ribosomal RNA", at positions 1980 to 2409 of the family's 2925-position model. The record is from RNAcentral. Lineage: Eukaryota; Metazoa; Cnidaria; Anthozoa; Actiniaria; Diadumenidae.
UUGUUGGCCGGUAUGAAUGGCAUUACGAAGGCCCCACUGUCUUAAGAGGACUCUCCAUGAAAUUGAAUUCGUAGUGAAGAUGCUACGUCCAUAUUGUAAGACGAAAAGACCCCAUUGAGCUUUACUAAAGACUUGUAUGGCUCGAGAUAACUUAAAUAAAAAGUUUAGAUAAUGUGGGAUCCGUUUUUGGUUAAUGAAACACCACUCUUUUAUUUUAAGAGAGCUAACCUUGUAGGGAGAAUGCAAGUUGGAUAGUUUGGUUGGGGCGACCACCUUUUAAAAGGUAACGAAGGUGAGCUUAAGGUCCGUAGUUAAUAACUAGUGGCCUGACUGCAAGGGAAACAUCCCGAGCAGACACUGGG